Non-coding RNA from Struthio camelus australis, 1250 nucleotides. Lineage: Eukaryota; Metazoa; Chordata; Aves; Struthioniformes; Struthionidae. The record is from RefSeq and is a predicted model, not a curated record.
GUUGUUGCAGUUGCUGUUCCGAGCGCAGCUGAGUAUCGCUCGACGCCCUCAGAGAGAGCGCUGCCUUAGAGCCGACACCAACCGCUUAGUUCACCUCUCAAGAAGCUAUUUGAUUCUGAAGGAGAAGAACCUCUCCUACAAUGCUAACCUGGGGAUCAGAAGGAAGGAAAGCAGCAUUGGAGGCUUGGAAGCUACUAUGCUCAGGGGCUAUUUGCGAGGCAUAUUCAGAGAAAAGCACAUGGCAAGCCUGAGGACCAUACUGACACAAUAGUCUCACCUUUUGGGAGAUUCUAUAUUUCCCUUCUCUCAGACAGAUCUUCUUUGCAUCCAACCCCGAAGACACUAGCAAAGUGUCUUAAAAGUGACACUAGCAAAGAUGGCUUAAUCUUCAAGAUGCUGUUUCUUUGAACCCUGAACCAGAUUCACUGCCUCCUCCUGUAGCCGUGGCAAACAGUCUGUUGCACUUACCUGCUUUCCCUAGGCUGCUGCUGUUAAUCAAAUAAAUAAAUCCCUCAUGGCCAAAAGGGAGAAAUGUAGCCUUCGUGGGGGACUCAGAAUGAUGCUUCUGUCUUCCUCUGAUUAAACACCUCUUCAGAGAUAACUUAAUCUCAGCGUAUCUGAAGAAUACAGGGGCUGCCCUGCAUUUACUAGAUUCUACAACUCCAAAAUACUCCAUUUCUUCAUACUCCAUUUAUCUUCCAUUCCAUUAUCAGAAGACGUGCAGUAGCUGUAGAUACGCAGGACAUCACUGAACUCUCUCACAUCCACACGAAUGCCCUGUGGAAUGUGCAGCAUCCAGUGAAGCCCUGCCGAAGAGAUUCCUCCGCGAGAAAAAGUCAAAGACCAAAUACCACUUAAUGGGAUACACACAGAAGUGUGGUGAGAUCCAGAGCAUGCUCAUGAAAUCAUCUGUGUGUUUAUGAUAAGAAGCUCACUCCCCCCUUGGAUAACCUCCUGAUUGCUUUUGUUAAACCUCUGGCAGUUUAAAAGGUAUCUUGCUUUCCAAAGUCUGGGCCUUCUUCCUCUCUCUUUUCUUCUCUCUUCCCCACACAGGGGCCUCUUCUCUUCACUCGGCUCCCACUCACCCUCUCAAAUGACAGUCUUUCUGUACUCGUCUGUGCAACAGCACACAGCCUAGGCUCUGCUUCUAAAAGCCAGGAGUAACGUCCUAGUCUCUUUCCGUAUUGCUGCACUGUGCCUUGGUCUGAGGGUUUGUAAACCAUGAACAUUAAAAUAUCUGCUCAUCUGUU